AGCGGGUUCGUCUAAUGGUAGGACGCCGGUCUCUAAAACCGUUAUUCCCUCUGAAGGGGUUGUCUGGGUUCGAAUCCCAGACCCGCUG
RNAcentral lists this transfer RNA (88 nucleotides) under Caudoviricetes sp. Its description in RNAcentral is "tRNA-OTHER". It matches the Rfam family "tRNA". From Rfam's summary of the family: Transfer RNA (tRNA) molecules are approximately 80 nucleotides in length. Their secondary structure includes four short double-helical elements and three loops (D, anti-codon, and T loops). The record is from RNAcentral. RNAcentral also lists the same sequence under 1 other name. Lineage: Duplodnaviria; Heunggongvirae; Uroviricota; Caudoviricetes.